Long non-coding RNA from Bos taurus (domestic cattle), 1191 nucleotides. The record is from Ensembl. NCBI's taxonomy places the organism in Eukaryota, Metazoa, Chordata, Mammalia, Artiodactyla, Bovidae.
GACUUGCCCUUGUGUAUCAGUGGGUCCCAGUGUUUAGGAAGCCUGAAACAACAAGGCGCUGUGAACACCAAGCCCGGAAACAGCAGCCACAGCUUGCUGCGAGCCUGGCACGGGCCUGACCUCCUUCCUUCCCAAGAGGAAAGGGAGGGCCACCACCUACCCAGGCAGGAUGUGGGGGAGAAACCUGACAUCCUUCGCAGACCUGCUCGCUCGCCCCCGAACCUGCCCUCAUCGGCUCCACCUGCUCUCCUGAAGGUAGCCUGGACUCAGCGCUCUGAGAGGCGUCCUGCAGAGCGCGCGGAAAAUGUGGCUUUUGCAGGGCUGGGUCUGUCCACCUACUGCAGUGCCCAAAGUCCGAUGCCCUCCACAGUUUGGCCAAAUCUACUUUGCCGGCCUCGUCUCCGCGAUUUCCUCCCUGGGGUAGACUAGGGUUAGAGCCGGACGGGUGGGGAGCCGAGGCAAACAAACAACUCUGGGCGUGUCAGCCCCGCCCCGACCAGGGCACUGCCGAGUCGGGAUUGGCUGAUGUCGCCUGUAUUCUGGUUGGUCGGGGGAGGGUGCUCAUUCACAGGGAGCGCUGCUCCACUCGGGCUGGAAGUUUCCUACGCUGCUUCGCUUUCUGCACUCUGCACAAAAGUUGUACCACCUUGUAUGUAAACAGAUAAAAUCAAGUUAUCUAAUGUGCCUCCGAAUAUAACGUUGGCCCCUUGAAGGAUGGCCGAAUCUGUCAGCUUGCUGUAUCCUAUUUCUAAAUCACACACGUGAGGCCGAUUAACGGGCUUUCCCGGUGGUUCAGCGGUGAAGAAACAGCCUGCAAGGCAGGAUGACCCAGGAGAUGCGGGUUGGAUCUCUGGAUUGGGAAGAUCCCUUGGAGUAGGGCAUGGCAACCCACUCCAGUAUUCUUGCCUGAAGAAUCGCAUGGUCUGAGGAGACUGGUGGACUACAGUCCUUAAGAGUUGCAGCACGACUUAAAGACGCAGUAGGGCACGACUGAAACGAUGCAGCUCGCAGGCACACAUAGCCCUGUCACAAUGUCUUGAUGGUUUCCGGUGAAAAGCAAAGGGACUCAGCUAUACAUAUUCCCCAAACAUCCUUCCCACCCAGAUGGGCACAAAACAUUGAGUAGAGUUCCAUGUGCUAUACAAUAGGUCCUUAUUGGUUAUUUAUUUUGAAUACAUAAGUGUACAUGAC